GAUGAACGCUGGCGGCGUGCCUAACACAUGCAAGUCGAGCGUGAACCGUCUGAAUGAAACUUCGGUCGAGUGAGGAUGGGGAAAGCGGCGGACGGGUGAGUAACGCGUAGGCAACCUGCCCCGUACAGAGGGAUAGCCUCGGGAAACCGGGAUUAAGACCUCAUAAUACCAUUAUCUCACAUGUGAUAAUGGUCAAAGAUUUUAUCGGUAUGGGAUGGGCCUGCGUCUGAUUAGCUGGUUGGUGGGGUAACGGCUCACCAAGGCGACGAUCAGUAGCCGACCUGAGAGGGUAAUCGGCCACAUUGGAACUGAGACACGGUCCAAACUCCUACGGGAGGCAGCAGUGGGGAAUAUUGCACAAUGGGCGAAAGCCUGAUGCAGCAACGCCGCGUGAGCGAGGAAGGCCUUUGGGUCGUAAAGCUCUGUCGAGGAGGAAGAUAAUGACGGUACUCCUCGAGGAAGCCCCGGCUAACUACGUGCCAGCAGCCGCGGUAAAACG
This 499-nucleotide ribosomal RNA is filed under the name uncultured bacterium. RNAcentral describes it as "bacterial SSU rRNA". It matches the Rfam family "Bacterial small subunit ribosomal RNA", at positions 28 to 527 of the family's 1533-position model. The record is from RNAcentral.